UCACACUGUCUCCUUCCCAUUUCCUAACAUAUCUGAAUGUAUUCUUAGGGAGCCAUUGCACCUGUUUCCCAGGCCAGUACCUGUGCCUGACUGACCCCCUUCCUAAAAGAUCUGUUGGAACCCAACUAUCCAAGGACUCUACUAAGACUCACGUCAGAAGCAGAGACUCUAUCUCUCAGCAUCCCACUUCAAUGAGAAUGCCAACCGGCCACAGUCAACAAGAGCUCUGGGAGGUCCUGCCCUUAAACUGGCCUUCCCUAAAGCAAAGAAAGGGGGAUACAGCCUCAAAUGAGGGAAAACUGAGCCGACAUUCUGCUAUGUGUUGUCCCUGACCCAGCACCUUUUACUGAAGAGCUGCAGAAGAUCACCAUUCCAGAGGAUCUCAGCGCUGAGCCAGUCAGAGCUCAGGUUCUUGUUAUUAUCAGACUACUUCUACUCCAGUUCAUAUCACUACUGAACAGGAGCUUCUGUCCCAGCUUUCUGCCUGUUAAAAGGAAGUUUCUCCUCGCCACUGUCACACCAAAUGCUUGCUCUUGGGGGAAUUGUUGGGUCUCUUUAAAUCAAACUGAAUUGAACAUUUGUAAGCUUCUGUUGCCAAUUGUUUCUCUGCUGUGGCCCUCACACGUCUUGGUGUUGGAAAACAGGAAUUCAACCUCGGGGGGCAUCCGCUCACAAUGUCCACAUGUGCACCUGUAGUAACAUGAAACAUCAACUGUGUUUAAUAGACACAUAUAAACGGUAGAAAUAUGAGUUUAAGUGUCACCAUAUGGGACCUUUAACACAUUACCAGAUCUAAUCUUCCCCUCUUUUCUUCUGGACCGACUCCGAGCUGAACUCUUCACAGCUUCUCCCCGCGAUGCCACAUCUGGUUGUUUCUAGCUGAAGCUCCUGCUGCUGUCUCCUAAUAUGUCUUACAGGCAGCUGGGACACUCACAUGAGAGGGGGAG
Long non-coding RNA from Perca flavescens (yellow perch), 947 nucleotides. RefSeq lists it as uncharacterized. NCBI's taxonomy places the organism in Eukaryota, Metazoa, Chordata, Actinopteri, Perciformes, Percidae. The record is from RefSeq and is a predicted model, not a curated record. The transcript is spliced from 3 exons.